GGCCGGUAAGCCGCAUUCAAUUGCUGGCACGUUGUUACGUUGUUCGGUUGUGUUGUACGUGACAGAGCGUUGGUCCGACGACGUUAGAUCACUUGCACGAUUUAUUUUGUCUGUACCAACACUGUCAGUGAGCGCAUAACAUACUCGGGUUGUUGAUCGGCAUUAUUCCUGAUACGAGAACGCGGAGUUAGUCUGUAAGACCGAUGGAGGAAAAUGGGCUGAACCAGUUACAUCCACGGCAUAGCUGAGCGAGUGAUCUAUUCAGUUAGUCCGAGAGCAUCCUGAGUGUGUGCCACUCACCUGCUGAUCUCACCACUGCACCAUGAAGGGUCACGUGGUAGUUGCAGCCAUUGCUGUCAUGAUCGUUCUAGCGGAACGGGUGUCGGCCCAGAACACAACGCUAGUGCUGUCUCUAGAGGAUGACCACAGGGAGUACCUUGAUGAGCUGGAGCUCGAGCUGGAACAGCAACCAACAGCUGAUCGCCGUGCGUCAGCUGGUCGGUUUGAUUUUGGGUGGUCCCCUUGGUCCGACUGGAGCACUUGUUCCCGUACCUGCGAUGGGGGUGCCUCAUAUCAACUGCGACGCUGUAACUCGCCCUCGGGCUGCAAAGGCGAAGCCGUGCGGUACAAGAUAUGCAACAUGCAGCCAUGCCCGGAGUCAGGCGAUUUCAGGGAGCAGCAGUGCGCGGCCUACAACGAUGUGCCGUACGAGGGUGCCCUGUUGCUUUGGACCGCACAUCACGAUGACAGCGAGCCCUGUGCGCUGACUUGCCGCGGGCGGCCUGCAGGUGAACCUCUGACACAGGAGGAACCCAUAGUGGUGCAACUGGCUCCUAAGGUUCAAGAUGGAACGCGCUGUCGUCCAGGCAGUCUGGACAUGUGCAUUAAUGGCAAGUGCCAGCGUGUGGGCUGUGACUUGAAGAUAGGUUCCAUGAAGAAAGUGGACGGGUGCGGCGUGUGUGGUGGUGAUGGUUUGUCCUGCGCGCAGCCAUUGUACCACUGGGAGGAAGCUGCCAUGUCACUCUGCUCUGUGACGUGCGGAGGAGGGUACAAAAUGUCGCGACCGGUUUGUAUAAACCGAGUGACGGGCGCAGAGGUUGAUGAGCCGCUGUGCAACGCUUCCCAGAGACCUGAGCGCAAAGUUGUAGAGUGCAACUCUCAUCGCUGUCCAGCCAAGUGGGUAGUGGACGACUGGGGUCCAUGCUCUGUUACCUGUGCAGGUGGCUCCAGAUUUCGACAUGUGCACUGUGCAGAGGAGGGCAACGGGACCAGGUCGAAGGUUCCCGAGCACCUCUGCCAUGGACACAAGCCACGCUACCAGGAACCUUGCAACCUCAUGGACUGCCCAGCAUGGAAUACGGGAGAGUGGUCAGGGUGUUCCGUAUCAUGUGGAGAGGGCGAACAGACGCGCAGUGUCCAGUGCAGGGAUGCCCGCAACGCUCCGAGCGCUCUGUGCGACCCUGUGUCCAAGCCCAUAAACUUGCAGCUCUGCAGGACCGGCAUCCCCUGCCCUAUCUACCGCACUGGCUUCUAUGAUUCAGUAGUGGACGGACAGGAGCACCUGCCCGGUUUGGACCACACGCAACCCCUGGUGCAGCCGUACCCACCUCCACCACCUGGGCCUUCCCAGCGCGCUACGUAUGAAGGCCAGGUCUCCAGCGAGCUUGUCGUACCAUCGGAAUCGACCUUCAUUCCUGAGAAGUGGGGACCCUGCAGCGUAACCUGUGGACAGGGUUUCCGGAAACGUGAGGUUCAGUGCAAGAUCUUUCUGGAGUUCUCGAAGACUAUUGCUCGCCUUCCUGAUUCUCAGUGCCAAGGCCCGAAGCCAUCCGAAGUUGAGCGCUGUGUGCUGGAGCCCUGCUCAGCUGAAAGAUUGGAGCAAGAAGGCGGUUUCUACAGAGACUCUGGUACGUACAGACAUGACCAGAUCAGGGUGGCAGCACCGGCAGGAAAGACAUACACGUGGAAACAACAGGGCUUCACCCACUGCAGUGCUUCCUGUCUCGGUGGGGUCCAGGAGUCGCUUAUCCUGUGCGUUCGGGAUGGCGACCAGAAGCCAGUAUCACCAUUCCUGUGCCCCCAGGAUGCGCGUCCUGAAGCCCUUAUCCGUACAUGUAACGACCACCCAUGCCCGCCACGAUGGAAUUACUCUGACUUUCAGCCAUGCACAAAGUCCUGUGGUGUGGGCUUCCAGACCCGAGAAGUGAACUGCAUUCAUGAAGUGACACGUGGCGGAACCAACACGGUCAUUGUGCCCAACAACAUGUGCCCACAGCCACCACCCAUUGACCGCCAGUACUGUAAUGUGUUGGACUGCCCCAUCCGCUGGCACACCACUGAGUGGACAAAGUGCUCCAAGAGCUGUGGCGGAGGGAUAAAGACACGCCUGGUAGAGUGCAAGCAAGUGAUGGCUCUAAACCACUUGGUAUUGCGCUCAGCAUCCAAAUGCCCUUCCAGUAAGCCUCCAGACAAGAAGCCCUGCAACACGCGUUCCUGUGUCAUGGAGUCAGACAGGCCACAUAUAGCCACCUCCAACCACUCUUAUGUACAGCAGAACCCCUCCAAGAAAAAGGUGACACUCAAGAUCGGUGGGCAAGCCACUGUCUUCUGGGGCACACAGAUCAAGAUCAAGUGUCCAGUGAAACGGUUUAACAGGACUAAAAUACAGUGGGCAAAAGAUCACAAUUUUAUAAGCAAUUCAAAGAAAUAUAAGAUUUCAAAGAAAGGUGCACUUCGCAUUCAAGAUGUAACACAUAGGGAUGGAGGAAUUUACACUUGCCUUGCUGGACAGUCUUCUGCUGACCUUGUUCUAACAGUGAAGGCAAGACCUGGAGAGUUCCCUAGUUCAGAGGAGAUCGAUCGGCAGGCUGCAAACCGCAUGCUGGAUAGGACAAGCCUUGAGGAUGCAAACAUGGAAAGCAAUGGACAAAGCCACGAUGGACGUCGUCCCUUUCUGCCAGGAGUCGAUGAUCUGAGCCAUGAGCUGCGACCAGAAAGCAACCCCUUGUCUUCCCUGCCCAAGAAGCCAUCAGGAAGAGUGCAUACUGCACCCUCUUCCACUCCAGUACCGGAGGUAAUUGAGAAUCGGGUGGACUUCUGGCCACUGCCAGGCACACCACUUGUGAAGGACCAGGCAGAGGUAUUGGACCCUUCUAACAAGCCUACUGCUGCCCAUGGUGUGGCAGUUGGUGGAUCCCAGUUUGAGGGUCCCGUGUCCCUUUCGCCCCCUCGUUUGUCAGACUCUCUCGGAGAACCCCCCUCCAGCUCAGGAGGCUCACGUCCCAUGCCCCACUUCCAGAAGCUUCUUGCUAACCUGCAGAAUCUUUGGCUGUUUCAGACAUUUGGUAACUCCAGGGGCCAUCGGAUGGUCACUGAAACAAUGGAGCAGGGGCACCAUCAUGACCAUGAGGAGGAUGAGGAAGCCACAGAGGAUGCCCUAGGUUCCACAGUCAUUUUGGGGAAAGGUAGACCAGAAAAUCUCAAGUUUGACUGGAUGAUAACAGACUGGUCUAAAUGUUCACAGUCAUGUGGUGGAAGUGGCUUCCAGGUCAGGGCUGCACAUUGUAUGGUGCGCCUGCACAACACGACGCAAAAUGUAGACAGCAAUCUGUGCGAAGAUGCUGGCUUGCCAACACCCCCUACGAUACAGAAGUGUGGCACAGAAGACUGCCCUCACUGGGUGCCCAGUGACUGGUCUCCUUGUGAACAGUCUCGCUGUUUUACCUGGAAUACAGCAAUGCAGCGACGUGAUGUAGAAUGUCAACUGAACAAUGGCACAGGGGUGAACUUGCAGCAGUGUAGUGAGGUGGAGAAACCUCCACAACGUCAGGAGUGCUACAAUGACAAGUGUAAGGGCACAUGGAAAGUUGGAGAAUGGUCUGAGUGUGCAGCCCCAUGUGAGACGCAAGGCAUCAAGUACCGAAUCCUGCAGUGUGUAUGGUACGGCACGAAGAAGCCAGCGGGCAACGCCUGCAGGGACCAGCCACGGCCCUCCGUCAUGAAGGUGUGCAAGGGGCUGCCAUGUGCCCAUUUGUCCGACUGUAAAGAUCAGUCAAAAUACUGCCAAAACGUGAAGGCAAUGAACAUGUGCAGAGUGCAUCGGUAUCAGCAUCAGUGUUGCCAAUCUUGUCGGAAGAAGGGCUAGGUGCUACAGACUUCACACAAUAGCAAUACAAGAAGGGGUGCUGUGUUAUCAGUGAGCAUUCCUGCUGGGAACAUAUAUCCACAUACUAAAGUGAAGAAGGGAGUGGCAGAUACCAGGUUUGUUGUGCCCUUCUCUGCUAGUGCCCAUGAACUUUACACGAUAGUAAUGUAAGUAUAAGUCAAAGGGUGACAAAUGAGAGAGAAAUGCAGGCAUUUUGGAGAAAAUGUUGAAAUGCAUAUUGUACAGUACUAGGACCUGUCCAGUAGACUGCAUAUAUUUGUAUUCUGCAGAUAAUUCUUUGCUUUUGUCAUUUGGUGUAUAUGCAAAUCUGCAUUGGACAAGGGUUUACUGUACUAUUCUGAAGAAAUAUUUUCCACCAGAGACGCAUUCCAUUACCAUGUUUAAUCUGUGGCAUAUAUCUUGUAUAAUGAAGAGUUAUACUUUGCUUUGUAGGUACUGUAAUUUAAUUGCAAGAAGAAGUUCAAAUGUAAAUGUUUAUUUCCUUUAAUACUUUUAGACCUAUAUUAACGUGAUUUGUAAUAUUUUCCAUAAAUGUGUUAUUAUAUUUUCAUGUAUUACAGGAGUUGGAUGAUAUUAAUAGUACAUAAUGCACUUAAAUUAAAACAUGACUGCUAUUCUUCAUAUUCAGUUUUAGUUAAGCUGUUUUUUAAGUACAAAAUUGUCUUUGAAAUUUUUAAAGCUCAUAUCUUCCACAUGUUGCCAACAUAAUGUCAUAAGAUAUUUUUGUCUGCUAGCUCAUAUUAUACUUGCACUGUUUAUUCAAACAAGAUGUGCACUAGUGUUAAGAAAGCUCCUGUUCUGAAAAACUUGUUUACUGGAAAGAAUGAAAUUACAAAAUAUAUGGCAGAAAAUGUCCCAAAUACCUACUAGAGAUAGAAUUAUCUUAACAUUUCUGCCUCUGGGCAUACAAACCUGGUAUGGUGAGGUCCAUGAAAUUGCUAUGGAAGCAUUAUGUUAACAUCAACAUUAUCAUCAUUUGCAUCUCCCAAAUGUGAUGUCUUCUUUACUGAUAGAUGUAGUACUAUUUAAUUGGGAACCAGUUUAAACCAUAAAUAAGUUCCUAAUAUUUGAAUCUGAAAUGAUACAAAGCCCUAGAACCAGUUAAUUAAUUAGGUAUAUCAAUUUUUCUUGAACAUCAUAUUCCUCAUAGAUACUUCACUUAUCAGAAGGCAAUCUAAAUGUAAUUUUACAAUUUUAAGGAGCAUGACACCAUGUAGUCUGGAAUAUGAUGAUGAAGUUUAGGAAAGUACUUCUGUCUCCAUCUUCAUUUCUUCCACCUUAAGAUUGAGGCAGCAGAAUCCUCCAAAACAAUGGUAACCAUAUGUCACACUGCAUGGCACCACUUCUCAGGAGACCACGAUCUUCAUAUACACUCUUCUGUGAACCUCAUAUCUUAUAUGCUCUAAACGUAUUUAUGCUGAACUUCAUGUGGUCAAAAAUUCAUCAACAUACACGCCAGUCAGCCAUUAUUAAUAAGAUGUACAUAAAAUGUUAAUCUUUUUUUAAAGAAAGUAGUAAAUGUAUUUGGUACACUGAAAGCCCCUGAUUCACAUAGGUUGUGACCCACCUGACACUGAACACUCACUGUACUAGUCACUGGUACUUGUCUUCAUUCCUAUUUAUAUGAGUUCAUAGUGGAACAAAUCAGUAUUAAGGCACUGCCCAGCUCAACAAUGCGACCACGUACAGUGUCAUUAUUUUACAUUAUGACCUCAACUGUAUGGUUUAAGUUACCGGUUUAUAUAUGCCUUAGAAUAACUACUGUUAUAAGAUGCCAUGUUCACAUAUGUUUGUGGCUGUUUGUCGUUUGUUUUUUGUUACUAUGGUUCUCCUUUAUUUACAACAGUAUUAGCAGUCAUCAGCACUAGUUUCCAGUUUUUCUUCCUCAGUGGCAAACAAAUUUUGACCCAUAGACCUGUCAUACAUUGUCAUUCUGUAUAUUUGUUCGAUCACUUCUAUUAGAAGGAGGUCUCUGAUCCCCUCAUGGCAAAGUAACAUAAAAUAUGGAAGGCAUUCAUUGAAGCUAAACUAUGUAAUAGAUUUGAGGUGGGACAUAUUUCUAACGUACAACUCUUCUAUGGGAAAACUUAAAAUCUUAAAAAUAUUAGGGUUGGAACUUAAACAUGGCUUUGUUCAAGGUGCUAUCUUGGUAGGUAUUUGUUGGGAGGUGACAAGGGAAACCAAUAAGUUCAUUGUAGUCAGUGUUUCAUCCAAUAUUCGAACAGGGCACCUCCCAAAAACAAUUCAGAAGUGUUGCUGCUUGAGCCAGCUUUCUGAUGGAAGAGAUUGCAGUUUGUUUUGGUCACAUAAAUACUUAGUGUUUACUAUUUAACUACCUGAAAAUAUUAAAUUAUUUCUGAUGAACUAAAAAAUGUUUAUACAUGAAAAUAUUUGAAUUGCACUACACAUAUGCCCAUGUAUGUGCUCACACACACAAACAAGUGAAUAGACUCACUAUGAACACAUUACAAUAUAUGGUAAUAUUCUAUAAUCUCUUCGUUUCAGCAUCUCAUUUAAUCUUAUAUACUGGCUAAUACAGUACAGUUAUUAACUUAUAUUCAUGCUAAAUCUAUAUUUGAAGUCACAGUUAUUUUGUUUAUUAAUUUCAUAUUGGAAUAUAAAUUAACCUUUGAUGCACCAUAAUUAUCUAAUAGUGAUUUUGUAAACAAAGCUAAAGUUAUUACAGUUCUACUCUAAUUUAAAUGAUAAUCAUGUUCCUAGAAAAAAAAACACAUUACAUUAAAAUGCUUUUGGAAAUGGUAAUUGAGACCUAGGAAGUGGGUAUAUGUGAGGAUGCAGAACAUAGAGAUAUUUCUAAGAAUGGAAACUACAUAAAAGUCAAAGAUUAUUAAAUUAAGGUAUACUUGUAUAGAAAUUUUACACCAUUGUUGAUUGUAAGCUUCUGGCAGAAAAUCUAUAGAACCAAACUUUUAACUAGAAGCAAGACCCACCAUUGCAAAAUGAGGUGAUUCAGGUCCUUGAAGCCUGCAAUUAUUGAUACUGUAUUUUGUGAUUGCUGUUACAUGUAAAAAUAAAUGUGUUCAAAGAAACAAAUUUCCUCAAGUUUUAGACCUUUAUGAGAUAAAAGAUUGGUCACCGUGAAUAUGCUUUGAUAGGGACAAACUUUGACAAUCAUCAAGAGAACAAGCUGUAUGCUUCAAACUGUAGACAUGGAACAACUAGGACACUUGUUAUUAGCCACUGAAUCAUCUAUGCAUUGUUACGAAAGCUAGUUAUAAUUCUUAAAAUUUCAAUUAGUGAACAGUCAAUGAUUUGACUAUGUAACAAAGUUACCUCAAAAUUGUCUUUUAGUUUCAUGCCUACAUUAUGCAGCAUAAUGACACAAUUGGUCACAGGUUGUCAUAACAAGUCUCCGUCCCACAUAAAACUACUACCACAACUUUGUGAACAUGGCAUGACUGUGAUGCAAUAAACAUCCUAUAACACUCCCUUUCAUGUGUAAAAGCGAUUCAGAUGUUGUGUUAUAAGGCAUUGUUGUUAAUUUCUUGGGCACUUCUGUGGAGUGUGUUAUAUAUUCAUCAUGUGUAUGUUCUGUACAUCUGAAACUGAUCUUGUUGAUAUAAUGAUAUCAUGUUUAUUUUAAAUAAAUCAUGAAUAUAUCUGAUAAUCCGCUUGAUCACUAUGUACACCAAGAUAAUGAAAUCAUUUGAAUUCAACUUUUUCAGCAAGAAUCAUUUCUUAAUUCAGAGUCAUGCAGAAACAUCCCAGUGGUACAGUGAACUUGUACAACUACUUCGUUUUUUCACUUCGACUUCAAGAUAAGAAAAAUCUGAUAAACUACUUCUAGACUUUAUAGAUUUGGCAACUUAAGGCUUGUAGUUUUAUAAACUAUGCAUUUAAAAAUAUGUAAUUAAAUAAACUAAGGUACAAAAUU
This is an RNA transcript of Cryptotermes secundus, 8060 nucleotides long. It is a transcript of the gene named protein madd-4, with no coding region annotated. Lineage: Eukaryota; Metazoa; Arthropoda; Insecta; Blattodea; Kalotermitidae. The record is from RefSeq and is a predicted model, not a curated record. The transcript is spliced from 27 exons.